This 1360-nucleotide long non-coding RNA is filed under the name Sarcophilus harrisii (Tasmanian devil). RNAcentral's name for it is "lncRNA (ENSSHAG00000029623.1)". Lineage: Eukaryota; Metazoa; Chordata; Mammalia; Dasyuromorphia; Dasyuridae. The record is from RNAcentral.
AUUGUGGCCGCCCAGUGGCCUCCCCCCCCCAAGCCUUCCCUCGCCUCCCCCCAUCUAGUCUCCCUGCUCUGGCCCAUCUGAGUUUAAUGACAGGACAAGCCUCAUCUUAUCAAGCACAGAAACCACUUGUGCGCCAGGAUCAAUGGCGCCUUUAUUGGCACCGAAGGGCUGACAUUUCCCCCCAGCACAACUCUGUCACGAGGCACAUCUGUCAGGUGCUCCCGGUGGGAAAGCAGGAAGCGGCCCAUUCAAGAACUGGGAGCCACACUGAGCCAGCAGAUGGAGGCCAGGACAGAUGACAGCCCAGGAACAGAGAGAUGGGCACCCAGAGGAGCAGGGGGGCCAGCGUUCUCACUGGAAGCUCCCUCCAAGUCCCAAGGCAUGGGCUCGUCCUUGGUGCACUUCUUGGACUAGUGGCUACGGACUUUUCUUCUCCUGGCCCAGAAGAACAUCCUCAAAUAUGGGCGGAUCCAAGGGUGGAAACAUUCCCUGCCAACUUGGAUGGCUACGCAAUCUCAGAGUGGGAGAGGCGCUGCAGGCCUGCAAGCUUGGAGCUCCUCCUGAGGCAGCCCCUCCCGCACUGGGACUGUGCUCACGGAGCAAAUUUGUUCUGGCUGAAGCCUAAAUCAGUCUGGUUGUGCCCUCUGGGACCAGUGGCCCAAGGCUCAUCCCCCAUCCGCUUGUCUCUCUCACCUCUGUCACAUGUCUGGUGGAUUUCACUUCUCCAGCAUCCAAUUGCAUCUCUGUAGCAUCUCUCACUAAUUUCUCCUCUGUGUCAUCUCUUGUCUCUUUCAUCUCUGUAACAUGUCUGGUGGAUUUCACUUCUCCAGCAUCCAAUUGCAUCUCUGUAGCAUCUCUCACUAAUUUCUCCUCUGUGUCAUCUCUUGUCUCUUUCAUCUCUGUCACAUGUCUGGUGGAUUUCACUUCUCCAGCAUCUCUGUAGCAUCUCUCAUCUCCUCUGUGGCAUCUCUCAUUGAUUCUACCUCUGCACCCUCUGCCCAAUAUGCCCUUUUUGCUCUUUACUUUGCCCCCACCCUGACCUUCAGCACCUCAUGCCUCAUUGUAGUAGCUGCUGGUGGGUCUGCCUCCCUCAGGUGUCUUUCCACUCCAUUUCAUCCUUUUUUAGCCACCAAAGUGAUUUUUCUAAAAUGCAGGUCUGACCAUGUCAUCCCCCUCAUUUUUCAACAGCCUCCAGUGGCUCCCUGUUACUCCCAGGAUCAGAUACUAAAUGCUCCGCUUGGCCUUCAAAGCCCUUCAUAGCCUGCCCCCUCCUCCAUUUCCAGGUUUUUUACACCUCACCCCUGGAGCAGGUGGGCUCCCGCUUGCUAGCUCCCUUUUGUUAAUCCUCUGGAUGGUUUUG